UGCCCGCCAAGGUAAACCGUAGAUUCGCAUCUCGAAUAGAUGAACAUGUUCUUCAAACUUCAAAGCUUGAUUCAACGCACUGGUUCUCAAAUCCCUUCGUUGUCUUUCCCUAAAUGUUGUUUCUUCUCCGAUGGAGAAAGUGUGGUUUAUCACCACGCUCGUUUGUUCAAGAAACCAUUAUCGACCAAGCUCAACUCCGUGAGCCUUAUGGGUUUCGUUGAUCGACCCAUACGAGUCAUCGACACCGGACCCGAUAUGUUCGGUGUUUUCACUAUGCUUAGAUUGAAGCACCCGCUCUAUCCUAACCGGAGCUUUAGGAUAUAUCUUAGUAUGUGGGACGCGAUGGCACAGAUGUGUAUAGCGCAUCUGAAGCCAAAUGAUCACAUACUUGUCUCAGGACGCCUUGCUUCUUACAGCAAGAGCUCCAGUGAUGAGUCUUGCGGCUUAGAUUUUGGUUACCAGGUUAAUGUGACAGAGGUGAAUUAUGCGGCGGUUCCACCAAGUAACGUCUUAGAUUCUCAGAUAUCUGAAAAACCAAUAUCAACAGCAGAAGAUGGUAUAGAAGAAUCCAAGAAUGAUGAGAUAUACUUGUGGCAAGUCUUCUUUUCGAAUCCAUAUGAGUGGUGGGACAACAGAAGAAGUAAGAAGAACCCAAGGCAACCUGACUUUAAGCAUGAAGACACAGGUGAAGCUCUCUGGCUUGGCUCAGAUUUACCGGAUUGGGUUACUAGACGACUUGAAUUGUUAGACCAGAGAAAGCGUUUCGACAAUGAGGAAAAAACACGUUGUGGCAGUCUUUCGGAGUGGCUUUAGGAUUAGGAUGAGAUGUUCUUGGGGUAUUAUUACAAGUGUGUUGCAUCAUCCUGAGAAUGAACAAAGUGAGGAACUCUAAACGGGAUUCACAGAUUGAAGAUGCUGGUUAUGAUCAUUCAACAUAUCUUUAACUUGAAUGGAAUUUUGAGAUUGCUCUACAACAAGUCUGCUACACUCAUCACAAACGUAAUAUGAUUAUACACAUCCAUGUUGGCCGCAAAAACUAGGGAUCUUUUGUACGUAACCCCUCAACAACAACACCUUUAUAGUUCUUCAUACAACUCUUGAAACAUGGCUUUUUGGGAGAACCAAUUAGAAACUGCGUCUGCUCUGCCUUCUUCAUGGCAAGAGAAAGAGCUGCCGUAGCCAAAUCCAAUGAAGAUGAUGCGGAGGGUGUUCGGUGAUCAAAGGUUAGAGAUUCGAUACAUGCUUCUUCUAGGAGUGAAAAUGACAUGGUGCCUUUACAAGCCUCUGAUAUCAACGAUAAAGGAUAUGGACAUGUCUUUGGUUUCGUUGAUAAAGGGCUAGCUAUGUUAGAUUUUGCAUUGGUGGGUAUAUGGCCACUGCGAGAGGAGAAAAAAGGUUACAAUAUAGAUUGAUAUGUAUGCACGAGAAGAGUGAAAACAAACCAUCGUCUAUUUGUUCAAUAUAGAU
This is an RNA transcript of Camelina sativa (false flax), 1467 nucleotides long. It is a transcript of the gene named protein OSB1, mitochondrial-like, with no coding region annotated. The record is from RefSeq and is a predicted model, not a curated record. Lineage: Eukaryota; Viridiplantae; Streptophyta; Magnoliopsida; Brassicales; Brassicaceae.